GAUGAACGCUAGCUACAGGCUUAACACAUGCAAGUCGCGGGGUAACAUCUGGUAGAGCUUGCUCUUCCAGGAUGACGACCGGCGCACGGGUGAGUAACGCGUAUCCAACCUGCCCAUUACUCGGGAAUAACCUCUCGAAAGAGAGCCUAAUGCCCGAUUCAUUCCAUAGAGGACAUCUGAAGUGGAAUAAAGAUUCAUCGGUAAUGGAUGGGGAUGCGUCUGAUUAGCUUGUUGGCGGGGUAACGGCCCACCAAGGCGACGAUCAGUAGGGGUUCUGAGAGGAAGGUCCCCCACAUUGGAACUGAGACACGGUCCAAACUCCUACGGGAGGCAGCAGUGAGGAAUAUUGGUCAAUGGGCGAGAGCCUGAACCAGCCAAGUAGCGUGCAGGACGACGGCCCUAUGGGUUGUAAACUGCUUUUAUAAGGGAAUAAAGUGAGCCUCGUGAGGCUUUUUGCAUGUACCUUAUGAAUAAGGACCGGCUAAUUCCGUGCCAGCA
This 498-nucleotide ribosomal RNA is filed under the name uncultured bacterium. RNAcentral describes it as "bacterial SSU rRNA". It matches the Rfam family "Bacterial small subunit ribosomal RNA", at positions 28 to 513 of the family's 1533-position model. The record is from RNAcentral.